CUACGGGUCGCUCCAGUGAGGAAUAUUGCACAAUGGGGGGAACCCUGAUGCAGCAACGCCGCGUGGAGGAUGACGCAUUUCGGUGUGUAAACUCCUUUUAUAUGUCAAGAAAAUGACGGUAGCAUAUGAAUAAGCACCGGCUAACUCCGUGCCAGCAGCCGCGGUAAUACGGAGGGUGCAAGCGUUACUCGGAAUCACUGGGCGUAAAGGACGCGUAGGCGGGUUGGAAAGUCAGGUGUGAAAUCCUACAGCUUAACUGUAGAACUGCACUUGAAACUUCUAAUCUAGAGUAUGGGAGGGGGAGAUGGAAUUAGUGGUGUAGGGGUAAAAUCCGUAGGUAUCACUAGGAAUACCUAAAGCGAAGGCGAUCUCCUGGAACAUUACUGACGCUAAGGCGUGAAAGCGUGGGGAGCAAACGGGAUUAGAUACCCGCGUAGUC
RNAcentral lists this ribosomal RNA (439 nucleotides) under uncultured bacterium. Its description in RNAcentral is "partial 16S ribosomal RNA". It matches the Rfam family "Bacterial small subunit ribosomal RNA", at positions 339 to 795 of the family's 1533-position model. The record is from RNAcentral.